UAAACAGGACCUUGUUGGUUUUUGCGAUC
RNAcentral lists this small RNA (29 nucleotides) under Bombyx mori (domestic silkworm). RNAcentral describes it as "ovarian small RNA-18118". The record is from RNAcentral. Lineage: Eukaryota; Metazoa; Arthropoda; Insecta; Lepidoptera; Bombycidae.